ACCCCAGCAUUCAUUCCCUAUUGAGUAGACUGACAAGAGGGACUGUUCUGCGGUUCUCAGUAGUAACCAUUCCUUUCAUGCCCUACUGAGUAGAUUGGCUGGAGAAAAUCUCUUGUGGUUCUCAAUACAAACCAUCCCAGCAUUACUGGAGCUUGUCAGCGUUCUAUGUGUGCUAUGAAGCAUCGCAUUGUAGCUGCUGACUUCGAUAUACCACCAAUAAAAGGUCCAGAAUGAUUCUACAGAUGAGAGCAUACUGUCACCCCUUUCGAGCGACAGUGUUCUCGAGGAUCUUGUCAGGCAGCUUGACGCUCCAGAGGAUGGUGGUUGGAUAAAUCCAAACUCAUGUGAAUGCGAUAGUUUUCACUCUUUGAUGUACCUUUUCCGAGUAUCCGUUUGCACAAGCCUCGAGUUGUUACGGACUGCUGUGUGGCUCGCUAUGAAUGUUUGAAAAG
Schistocerca americana (American grasshopper) is the source of this 452-nucleotide long non-coding RNA. RefSeq lists it as uncharacterized. The record is from RefSeq and is a predicted model, not a curated record. NCBI's taxonomy places the organism in Eukaryota, Metazoa, Arthropoda, Insecta, Orthoptera, Acrididae. The transcript is spliced from 3 exons.